AUGGUAAAAAAACAAAAACAAAAAGCUGGAGUCCGGUGCGCACACACACACACCAACGGAUGUUCUUGCCUGGAAGUAGCGCUGCAUUUUGUCUCGUUAGGCACCCACCAAUCGUGCUGGGUUUAUAAAACUCGGCAUGUCGCUGUCCCGUGGUCGGCAACGCGACUAUGGUUCCAUCGCCAAGAUCAUGGCAGCGAAGUGGUCAAGCUGUUCGACGUGUUGUGUCACCAUUUUUUCAGACUUCAGAGAGUAACAUAUAUCAUGGUGGCCCGGCUUCUGAGCAAGCAGUGGACAGUUGACAUGUUCUUGCCGGACCGAGUGAAAGUGAGCAGUACAAGUAAGCGCGUUGUGACAUGCAGACGCGUUGGAGAUGAUGGAAAAAGAACAGGAGAUCAAAAUGUUCAGAUGAAGGACGUGCGUGCCAGCAACUAG
Molecule: ribosomal RNA, 432 nt
Filed under: Triticum aestivum (bread wheat)
Lineage: Eukaryota; Viridiplantae; Streptophyta; Magnoliopsida; Poales; Poaceae
Description: partial small subunit ribosomal RNA
Source: RNAcentral